GACGAACGCUGGCGGCGUGCUUAACACAUGCAAGUCGAACGGAAAGGCCCUGCUUGCAGGGUACUCGAGUGGCGAACGGGUGAGUAACACGUGGGUGAUCUGCCCUGCACUUCGGGAUAAGCCUGGUAAACUGGGCCUAAUACCGGAUAGGAGCCAUUUUUAGCGUGAUGGUUGGAAAGUUUUUUCGGUGUAGGAUGAGCUCGCGGCCUAUCAGCUUGUUGGUGGGGUAAUGGCCUACCAAGGCGGCGACGGGUAGCCGGCCUGAGAGGGUGGACGGCCACAUUGAGACUGAGAUACGGCCCAGGCUCCUACGGGAGGCAGCAGGGGGGAAUAUUGCACAAGGGGCGCAAGCCUGAUGCAGCGAGGCCGCGUGGGGGAUGACGGCCUUCGGGUUGUAAACUCCUUUCGCUAGGGACGAAGCUUUUUGUGACGGUACCUAGAUAGGAAGCACCGGCUAACUACGUG
Molecule: ribosomal RNA, 465 nt
Filed under: uncultured bacterium
Lineage: Bacteria
Description: partial 16S ribosomal RNA
Rfam family: Bacterial small subunit ribosomal RNA
Source: RNAcentral